Molecule: RNA transcript, 1189 nt
Organism: Dendroctonus ponderosae (mountain pine beetle)
Lineage: Eukaryota; Metazoa; Arthropoda; Insecta; Coleoptera; Curculionidae
Gene name: serine/threonine-protein kinase RIO2-like
Source: RefSeq, a predicted model, not a curated record
AAGUGGCUUCGAUUGCCCGUUUGAGGCACUGGCGCACAGGCAAAAUAAUUGGUAACCUGCAGAAACAUAAGUUGCUGUCGUUCGAGAGAGGCACCAGGCCUGAGGCGUUAAGCCUCAACGUCUUUGGAUACGACUAUUUGGCGCUGAACUCCUUGCGGAAACGCGAUUCUGUCGAUGCCUUUGGAAACCAGAUUAGCGUGGGGAAGGAGAGCAAUAUUUAUAUUGUGUCUGCAGGGGAACAGGAAAGAUGCCUCAAGUUGCACCGGCGUGGAUUAUUGUACUUUAAAAGGAGCGUGAACAAGCCUAGCCAUCACCAAAGAAGAAAGUCUGCUUUCUGGCUGAACCUGUCUGCCAGAUCAGCGACCAAAGAGUUCGCUUGUAUGAAAGUCCUGCAUGAUCGCCAGUUUCCGGUGCCUCAACCCUACGAUCUCAGUCGACAUUGUGUGGUAAUGGAACUGAUCAAAGGCACUCUUCUUCAUCGCGUGCAUGAACUGGACAACGUAAAGGCUCUUUACGACAAACUGAUGAACAAUAUAAUGAAAUUUGUUUUGUUUUUUUUCUCGCAUGAUUUUUACUCACCAUGCAAAUGCUAAAAUGUUCUUCGAAAGGGAUGUGAAUUGCGUGAUCAACUUCUUCAGAAAAAGGUUCGGCUUCGAAAGCGAAACAUUCCCUCAAUUCUCAUACGUGGUGCGCUUGGACACCAUAGAUAUGGAGGCCGAGCGUAUUGGGCUCAAAGAGGACCUGGCCGAACUCAUCAAAGCAGUGAGGCAGCAACUCUGGAAUGAGUCCAAUAACUGCGAUGCUGGGACGACCGGUGAAUUAAAUGAAGAACCUCUGGAACACGUUCAUGUCGAAUUAGAUGAAGAUUUCGAUGGGUGAUUCUUCGAAGACUCUUUCGACGAAGAAGUGAACUGAAUAUUCAACUAAAAGGUUCAUUGCUCUAUGAUAAAAUUUCAGGGUAAAUCAAUUUCUUUUCUAUCGAAGAAGGUUUUGCAAUACGAGCGACACUUUGCUGUGCCUUCUUCUUUUCGGAAAACAGUCUCAAUUAGGGUUCCAAUAAUUUAUUAGCAGGUUUCUUUUUAGCUUUUGUUUUUUCUUCUGAGUUUUUUUUUAUAAAAUUAUAUUGUUGGAGUUGUCGAGUACUUAAACUGUUGGUAAAACUAGGCUUUGAAUAUACUGUUAAAUUUCA